This 275-nucleotide ribosomal RNA is filed under the name uncultured prokaryote. RNAcentral's name for it is "partial 16S ribosomal RNA". It matches the Rfam family "Bacterial small subunit ribosomal RNA", at positions 524 to 798 of the family's 1533-position model. The record is from RNAcentral.
CACGUAGGAGGCAAACGUUAUCCGGAUUUACUGGGCGUAAAGCGCGUGUAGGUGGUUCUGUAAGUAGGGCGUGAAAGCUCCCGGCUCAACUGGGAGAGGCCGUUCUAUACUGCAGAGCUAGAGGAUGGUAGAGGGAGGUGGAAUUCCAGGUGUAGCGGUGGAAUGCGCAGAUAUCUGGAGGAACACCAGUGGCGAAGGCGGCCUCCUGGACCAUUCCUGACACUCAGACGCGAAAGCUAGGGUAGCAAACGGGAUUAGAUACCCCGGUAGUCCCU